CUACGGGAUGCUCCAGUGAGGAAUAUUGCACAAUGGGGGGAACCCUGAUGCAGCAACGCCGCGUGGAGGAUGACGCAUUUCGGUGUGUAAACUCCUUUUAUAUGUCAAGAAAAUGACGGUAGCAUAUGAAUAAGCACCGGCUAACUCCGUGCCAGCAGCCGCGGUAAUACGGAGGGUGCAAGCGUUACUCGGAAUCACUGGGCGUAAAGGACGCGUAGGCGGGCUUGUAAGUCAGGUGUGAAAUCCUACAGCUUAACUGUAGAACUGCACUUGAAACUACGAGCCUAGAGUAUGGGAGGGGGAGAUGGAAUUAGUGGUGUAGGGGUAAAAUCCGUAGAUAUCACUAGGAAUACCUAAAGCGAAGGCGAUCUCCUGGAACAUAACUGACGCUAAGGCGUGAAAGCGUGGGGAUUAAACAGGAUUAGAUACCCUCGUAGUC
This 439-nucleotide ribosomal RNA is filed under the name uncultured bacterium. Its description in RNAcentral is "partial 16S ribosomal RNA". It matches the Rfam family "Bacterial small subunit ribosomal RNA", at positions 339 to 795 of the family's 1533-position model. The record is from RNAcentral.